This 548-nucleotide ribosomal RNA is filed under the name uncultured bacterium. RNAcentral describes it as "bacterial SSU rRNA". It matches the Rfam family "Bacterial small subunit ribosomal RNA", at positions 355 to 895 of the family's 1533-position model. The record is from RNAcentral.
UAGGGAAUCUUCGGCAAUGGGGGCAACCCUGACCGAGCAACGCCGCGUGAGUGAAGAAGGUUUUCGGAUCGUAAAGCUCUGUUGUAAGUCAAGAACGAGUGUGAGAGUGGAAAGUUCACACUGUGACGGUAGCUUACCAGAAAGGGACGGCUAACUACGUGCCAGCAGCCGCGGUAAUACGUAGGUCCCGAGCGUUGUCCGGAUUUAUUGGGCGUAAAGCGAGCGCAGGCGGUUUGGUAAGUCUGAAGUUAAAGGCUGUGGCUCAACCAUAGUUCGCUUUGGAAACUGUCAAACUUGAGUGCAGAAGGGGAGAGUGGAAUUCCAUGUGUAGCGGUGAAAUGCGUAGAUAUAUGGAGGAACACCGGUGGCGAAAGCGGCUCUCUGGUCUGUAACUGACGCUGAGGCUCGAAAGCGUGGGGAGCGAACAGGAUUAGAUACCCUGGUAGUCCACGCCGUAACGAUGAGUGCUAGGUGUUGGAUCCUUUCCGGGAUUCAGUGCCGCAGCUAACGCAUUAAGCACUCCGCCUGGGGAGUACGACCGCAAGGUU